RNAcentral lists this ribosomal RNA (235 nucleotides) under uncultured bacterium. RNAcentral's name for it is "partial 16S ribosomal RNA". It matches the Rfam family "Bacterial small subunit ribosomal RNA", at positions 99 to 334 of the family's 1533-position model. The record is from RNAcentral.
CGGACGGGUGAGUAACGCGUGGGUGACCUGCCCCAUACCGGGGGAUAACAGCUGGAAACGGCUGCUAAUACCGCAUAAGCGCACAGAGCUGCAUGGCUCGGUGUGAAAAACUCCGGUGGUAUGGGAUGGGCCCGCGUCUGAUUAGGCAGUUGGCGGGGUAACGGCCCACCAAGCCGACGAUCAGUAGCCGACCUGAGAGGGUGACCGGCCACAUUGGGACUGAGACACGGCCCAG